Molecule: long non-coding RNA, 787 nt
Organism: Mobula hypostoma (lesser devil ray)
Lineage: Eukaryota; Metazoa; Chordata; Chondrichthyes; Myliobatiformes; Myliobatidae
Exons: 3
Source: RefSeq, a predicted model, not a curated record
AGCAACGGUGAGCGGCUCUGUGGUUCCGUCACCACUGACACGGCUGUUGCAUCAGUUUACAGCCGCCGGCUGAGCGGGUUGGCCGCAAAGAGCUCAGAGGUCAAGAUCUUCUUUUGUUCUUUUCUAUUCUUUCUAGUAAUGUUCAAGUUGUCCCUGGAGGAAACCUAACACUGGAUUCAAAUAAUUGAUUCCGUUACUACCUCAAAAAUCUGCAACCUUGCCCAUCAAGGACAGGAGCAGCAAGAGUGCUUCCAUUUGUGGAUUCCUUUCCGAUUUUGUGCAUCAUCCUAUCUGGUAUAUAGAUUUACCAUCACUGAGUCUGAAUCCUCUAAAGUCAUUAUAGCGUAGGGAGGUGAAAGUCAUCGUAGUGUAAGGUGCUGAAAUAUUUAGUGAACCUGUCCCCAUAGUUUUGAGGCUUUGAAUGAGAAGGACAUGAUUUUAUUGAAUGCUGGUGUCAACUGAUCUACUGCUGCUGCUGUUUCUCCUGUUGUCAAUAUCACUAAAAUGAAUAAACAAAACAUUGCAAUUGCCUUUCCAUUAUUGAUUUUUGCUUCUGAAUUAUCACAAUCUUAAACAGAUUUCUGCAUAUACACUGAAUUCAACAGAUUUAUUUCUAGAAUUUAAAUAGGGCAGUUUAAUGCCAUGAAAAUUCUAAGGAGGUAUACAGAAGGAAAAUAAAAUGUAACAAUUCCAAAUCCUUGGCAGGGGAAGUUACAGUAGAUCAGCAUUUUUGCCAAACAGAUAAGAAACUCUUGUCUAGAGAACUAGAUUAAAAAAGAUGUAGAAA